UUCGAGAAUGAUCCCUAGAAACACGCAUGGAACGCUUCGGCUCCUUUCCCUUUCGUCGUGACUCCUCCUUAUGCCCACUUCGUCCUUCGGACCGAUCAUGGCUAAAUGCUUCGUCCCGUAAUUCCUCCACCCGAAGCAUCUAUUCGGCUAUAUCUUCUCUUUGCUUUAACAGGACUUCCAUGGCUCUAUCUGCUUCGUCCGCCAUCUUUGCCAACUUGGCAGCUCUAUCCUCCUGGCUACUUCUAUGAUAAAUCUUGGUCGGUGAGCCUUCCACCUGUCUUCGACCAUGAUCUCGCUCCUCAUCCGCACCGAAAACCAAUCUUCGUCUGGCCCCGCCAGGAAUCU
RNAcentral lists this long non-coding RNA (345 nucleotides) under Panax ginseng (ginseng). RNAcentral's name for it is "long non-coding RNA (PGIN_LNC011626)". The record is from RNAcentral. Lineage: Eukaryota; Viridiplantae; Streptophyta; Magnoliopsida; Apiales; Araliaceae.